CCUGCCUCUCCCGGUCUCCGUCCCCUCCUCUUGCCGUGCGUGCAUGCGGCCGCUGCUGGUACUCCUGCUCGAACGUGUAGCGGUACCAGCGCCGCCAACAGGACGACGACCGGCACUGGCGCUGCCGCGUACAGGCCUACCUGAACUACCUGCCGAUGGCCGGCGUCGUUUCCUCCCCGCCGCCGCCGCCGUCGACCAGAAAGCUGAAGUACUUUCCGGAUACCCCGCCUACUAAACCGCCCGCGGUGGUGGCGUCGAACGAGCUCGUACCAAAGUAAUUCCUCAAGCUAACGGCCUCGUUGCAUGCACAUGACGUACUACGUACGCUGCAUAGACCGGAUCUAUAUUCUUAAAACGAACUCUUGACUUCCUGUUAUAAAAAAGAAUGAAUACUGAAUACAAUAGAUAGAAAUAUACAUACGAAGCAAGUGAGAUCACUUCCUGUCCGGCC
This 451-nucleotide ribosomal RNA is filed under the name Triticum aestivum (bread wheat). RNAcentral describes it as "partial small subunit ribosomal RNA". The record is from RNAcentral. Lineage: Eukaryota; Viridiplantae; Streptophyta; Magnoliopsida; Poales; Poaceae.